Non-coding RNA from Prunus avium (sweet cherry), 145 nucleotides. The record is from RefSeq and is a predicted model, not a curated record. Lineage: Eukaryota; Viridiplantae; Streptophyta; Magnoliopsida; Rosales; Rosaceae.
AUUUUCUUAGGAUCUGUUCAAGACAAUGAUUGCUGAAGUUAAGAAGGCUGUAGACAACAUAUUAACAAAGCCUAGCAGGUCUAGCCGUUUUGACUUUGCACAGUGCAUAAUUAAAGAUAGUAUUACCCAUGGCCUUGAAAGAACC